ACUACAUUUGCAGUCCAGUGCCAAGACAUUUUUGAGUGAAGAGAUGUUAAACAGCAGAGUGAAUGUGGCAAUCACUCACAUUUUAUUUUUAGAUUCAGCCUGCUAGGAACUGAAUCAUUAAAGAGGGAAGUGAAACAUUUUGUAAUAUCCAUUUUUCUUUUAGAUUAAUUCCUACUAAUGGUGGGACCAGACACAUAAAUACAGGACAUUGCUUGUGUUGUAAUGUCACAAUAGGAAGAAGGUUGCAUCUUUUCACUUGGCUUGCCUAUAUACAUGUUUACCAUCCUGGCCCUUCAUCUUGAGACUAGUGGGCUUCAGUCACAAAGCUAUGCAUUAUGAGUAAACAGGUUGAACACUGGGUUCGAGUUGUUUUUGCUAAAAACAACUUCAGGAGAAGGGAAAUUGGAGCAGGGAAGCAACAGAGAGAAGGUGCUUAAUCCUUUCAUCACACACAGAUUAUCUGCUCCAAAUCACCCUCAGAUGCUUGCACACACAAACAUGUCGCACAAACACACAUUUUGAACUCUGUAUACAUAAAACAGUUUGGGAGGGAAUCUGUUUAGAGCUUAUAAAUGGCAGGAAGGGGAAGAGUUAAGUACCUUCUCUUCUCCCUCAAUCCCCGCACUGCUCUGCUUCAAAUUUUUCCUAAAGCUGCUUUUCAAAAAAGAAAAAAAGGCCAGCACUGGGGACUCUCACAUUCAUGUUUGCAUAUAUGGUAAUUUGUAGUCAGUGCCUCUGUUGUCAGUGCUCCAAAAACCUGCAAAACUUAUUUAACCAAAUAGGUCAGUGGGGUGGGGGAAAGGAUAUUACACCAAUAUUACACUAACAUAAAUUAAGAGAAAAAUUCUUCCUUAAUAUUGUGAUCUCUGAUUCGUUUUCUAAUUGCAGCUUACUUUAAAGUUUUAUAACAGUUAGUGAAUUCCAGUGAUUAAUUUCUUCAUGCUAACACAGAUUAUGGUGAGUAUAUUGAACCUUGAAGAAACCAACACAGCCAACUCUCAAUAAUCAUUGAUGUUUUUAAAUUGAAUUAGUCCUUGGUGUAAUGUGAACCCUACAACAACAAGGGAAAUAUACAAUGCAGUAUUUAAUUCUUGUAAAUUUGGGCACAAGGCCGAUUAAGGUGUGGCUGGGUAAAAUAUGCGGCCUAGUCAAAACCUCCAGUUCUUCAAGGCUUGUGCCUGAGUGGUAACAAAAAGAGAAUGAAGGUGCCAUUUCCUGCAGCACAUUACAGAGGGGAUAGCUGUCCUUCUAAUGUCAAGGUAUCUACCUCUGACAUUCUUUCAGGUGUUAGCUCCCUCCAUCUUCUCUUCAGGGGAACGAGUAUGCUGUGACAAGUAUUGCUUGAUUUCUUCUACAUUUGUAUCCUACUCUUCCUUCAAGAUGGUUAUGAUUGAGCAAGAUUAGAAAGGAAGCAGAUAAGAAGCUGGCUUUAUGAGUGCAUAAGAAGAACUUUGCUGGAGCAGGUGAAAGGCCCAUUGAGUCCCACAUCCUGUGCUCUGAGUGGCCAACCAGAUGUCUAUGGGAAGCUGGCAAGCAGGACCUGAGUGGAACAGUGCUCUCCCUACUUGUGAUUCUGUAUGUUACCUUUAACUUUCCGAAUUAUUUGGAUUGCUUUCUGGAGACUUUGCAUUGCCGCUUUAAAUCAUGGACAUCGUUGGGUUUCUGAAGUCUCAAUUCAUUUGCCACCUCCUUAUCAGUUAUGUAUUUAUAGUGUCGGGACUGAUAAUCAACUUCAUUCAACUCUUCACAUUAAUCCUCUGGCCGUUCAACAAGCAACUUUUCAGGAAGGUCAAUUGCAAGCUGGCUUAUUGCAUUUCAAGCCAAUUGGUGAUGUUGCUGGAAUGGUGGUCGGGCACAAUUUGUACACUCUACACGGAUCCCCAGAAUUAUGAAAAGUACGGGACAGAGAAUGCCAUAGUAAUCCUUAAUCACAACUUUGAAAUUGACUUUCUCUGUAGCUGGAACUUUUGCGAAAGAUUUGGAGUCUUAGGGAGUUCCAAAGUACUUGCAAAGAAAGAGCUUGCUUCUAUGCCAAUCAUUGGCUGGAUGUGGUACUUCCUUGAGAUAGUUUUCUGCACGCGAAAGUGGGAGGAAGAUCGGAAAAAUGUCGUGCAAGCCCUACUCAAUCUCCGGGAUUAUCCUGAAAACUUCUGGUUUCUGAUUCACUGUGAAGGCACCAGGUUCACAGAGCAAAAACACAAAAUCAGCAUGCAGGUAGCUGAAGCCAAAGGCCUACCCAAGCUCAAAUAUCACCUGCUGCCACGGACAAAGGGAUUUGCUGUCACCGUCCAGUGUUUGAGAAAUGUAGUUUCAGCCGUGUAUGAUUCUACACUGAACUUUAGAAAUAAUGAGAAUCCAACUUUGCUGGGAGUUUUAAAUGGGAAAAAAUACCAGGCAGAUUUAUAUGUAAGGCGGAUUCCAUUAGAGGAAAUCCCAGAAGAUGAGCAGGAAUGUUCUAAAUGGCUUCACAAACUCUAUCAAGAGAAGGAUUCUUUUCAAGAGGAAUACUACAGAACAGGAGCCUAUCCUGGCACUCCCAUAGUGCCACCUCGGCGGCCGUGGACUCUAUUGAAUUGGCUCUUCUGGGCCAUAUUGUUGCUAUAUCCUUUGUUCAAGCUGUUCAUCAACAUGAUCAGCAGCGGCUCCUCGCUGACUCUGGCAACGUUUGCCUUUGUUUUCAUUGCAGCUACUGUUGGUAGUCGAUGGAUGAUAGGAGUUACGGAAAUAAACAAAGGCUCGACUUACGGCAACCAUGGCCACAAGGAAAAAUGAAAGUGAAAACUCCAGAGACUGCUUCAUACCCAAAGGGAACAUGCACACCUCCUGUGGAAUGCAGUGUACCAUUCUCCUUCAAAUCUACAGAAGCCGAAUGCAGUGAGAUGGCCAUGAAUUCAUUCUCUUUGCCCCUUAUUCCUCCAACUUGCAGGGGAUAUUGGUUCAUAUUCUGCACAUUAUUUUCAAAUUUCCCCCUAUUCAAAUUAAGGAAAAUAAAAUAUGCAAUGACAGUGUAGCAAGCAUCUGAAGGAAUUGAUGAUCAGUUUCUUCUUCCUUCUUCCCCAUAAUCUUAGGCGGAUUAACACUGUCAAUCCGUUUUAGUCAUUUUAUAAGAAAGUGAAAUUUAUUUUCUCCCGAAAGUAAGCCUUAUCACCCGUGAAUUUGUUCAAUCCCUUUUAAAAACUGUCUGGAGUUAGCCAUCACACAUUGAGGCAGCAAGUUUCAUUGUUUAAUGAUGCGCUGUGUGACACUCUCCCUUUCGUCUGUCUUUAAUUUCUUACCAUCCAGUUUCAUUGGAUGACCCUGAAGUCUAGUAUCAUGAGAGGAAGACAUACAUUUCCACACCAGGUGUACUUUUUCUACACCAUAAUUUUAUGUCUCCUCCCUCUUGGUUUUUCCCUAAAUAACCUCCAGUGUUGACCUUACUUCAGCCCCCUGAUAAUUUCACUUGCCCUUUUUGUGUGUUAUACAGCUCUACAGUGUACUUUUUAAGUUGCAGUGACCAGAAAUGUGCACAGCAUUCCAAGUUUGGCAAUAUAUUUUUCUAUAAAGGAAGUUUUAUUCUCAGCCCUAUAUGCCCUUUUCACAGCAGUUGGGUACAGGACUAUCUUUUAUUGGGCUAUCCACUUUGCCCAUAAAGACCUUCCCAGUUACUGUCAAAUUUGACCCCAGCACUGUACAUGGAAAGUUAGCAUUGGGGACAGUAACUUUUUACAGUUAACUUUAUUGCUCAUUCACCUCUUUCAGAACUCUCUGUAGUCCCUUUUUGUUUUUAACCACUCUGAAUAAUUAGGUCACAUCAUAAACUCUGGCAUGUCACUGCUCAUCCCUAUGAAAAAAAAAAAACACCACCCACUCCAAUACAGAUAUUAUCGGGGACCCUGUUUACAUCCCUUCACUAUGAGAACUGUACAAUUAGUCUGAGGCUCUGCUUCCUGUCACUUAACCAGUUACUGAUCCUUGAGAUCUUACCUGCUCCUUUGCCAUUAUUUCUGAGCUGGUUCAGAGCUUUUGUUGAGGGACUUCAUCAGAACAUUUUGAAAGUCCACAUGUCUUGCUGACACUCAAAUUAAGGGAUAGUGAGACAGGACUUGUCUUCUGAAGGGUUAUGUUUAGCAAGAAUUGUUGUUCUGCAGAUAAAGUUGCCCUGGAACAGGCGUUACAUUAAGUGGCCUGUAAUUUCUUGGGCCUUUUUAAAAAAUUGUGUUACACGGACUGCUUCUCUGGUGCAGAGGUGGAUGCUUUUGGCAGUGGGGCUCAGCACUUCAUCAGCUGGCAGCUCCUCAGAUGCUUGGACCUUUCAAGCUUGCCUUAUUUUUCCAGAUUAGGAAAGCCCUGUUGAAACAUAGUAGUCCCUGUUUGGAAGUGACAAAUUUCCCUUCACCAACUUUUGCCUCAAAUUUCACUGUAAAAUUCAUGCAGGCGCAGAGAAGGUAACCUGUGCUAGAAUGAAUGAAACCGGCUGACAUCACUUGUAGAGGGAUCUGUUCCGUCAGAGAGGAACCUCAAGAUUUUGUGGGUGAUGUCUUAGUGUAGUUUGGCUGUCGCCACAGUAGCUAUGCAGUCAAUAUAUAAAUGUACCAUGUCAUCAGCAAAAUGGACAAGUGUUGAAGAAAUGGGUGAUGCAAGCUGUUAGAAAGACUGCUGUUCAGUAAAUGCUGAAUGUGUUUACAUUCAUUGCGUGUAAGUCUGCAAAGAUUGGUGGGUUGUACAGUAACAUUGCCAGUGCCUUUAGAAAUUGUGUGGGAAGGUGAAGGUUGGAAGUGCAGGUAUCAUAGGCACCAUAUGAAAAGACGCUGCACCUGCCUUUUAAUGAGUAUAAGACUCCUCAUUUGGAGUUAAAAGCUGGUAAUUUUUAACUGUGUAUCAUAGGACAGGAAUCUUUACAAGCUACUUUCCUUGUUACAAGUACUAGGGUUUUGUUUUCAGUUUUUUGUUUUUUGUUUUUGUUUUGCUCUAAGUAAAGGAUCUACAGUGGUACCUUGGGUUAAGAACUUAAUUCAUUCCGGAGUUCUGUUCUUAACCUGAGGUACCACUUUAGCUAAUGGGGCCUCCCACUGCCACCGUGUGAUUUUUGUUCUCAUCCUGAAGCAAAGUUUUUAAUCCAAGGUACUAUUUCUGGGUUAGCAGAGUCUGUAACCUGAAGCAUAUGUAACCUGAAGUGUCCGUAACCCAAGGUACCACUGUAUCCAGAAAUCAGCACUUUAAGCAUGUUUGAGAAAUCACUUGUCCUCAAACGUACUUAAUCUGGGCUAGAUCAUGUACUUGGUAAGCAUAUUUGACCUUACCAAUAAAACCAAUAAAUAAUAAAACUGCUAGUAGCAAUAAGCAAAGCAGGGUCCGGGUAUGGUUUCAAAUUGGAUGGGGGCCACGUGUUGGACUAGAUGACCCUACAAGUGUACUAUUUUAUACCCUGCUUUUUCCUUUGUCUGUUUGGGUUUGGUUAUGUGUAGGAGAAAAUGCAGGAGAUAUUUGGAUGUCUACUAUAAAUCAUUUCAACAAUAUCUGAGGCCUGAACUGGUGGUGGAUAAGUGACAGUGGUCUGUUGAAGAGCUCCAUGAGCUGAGCAGCUGUUCAGAACUGAAAUGCUGCUGCUGCCCUAGUGCUUUUUGCUUGCCCUCUGUCAAGUUCAAGGAAGUCCAGUGGUUCUUAACCUACCCCAUCUUUACACAAAAAACAAACAGCAAUGAGACCAAACCUGCACAUUUGUCCACACAAACUCCUUGUCAGCAGUGACUCAAGUAACUAUUCAAGAUUCAAGCCUACAAUCUGCAUGCAAACAUGUCAGAGUGAAGGAUCUGGUCCUAU
Podarcis raffonei (Aeolian wall lizard) is the source of this 5802-nucleotide RNA transcript. It is a transcript of the gene named 1-acylglycerol-3-phosphate O-acyltransferase 4, with no coding region annotated. The transcript has 11 exons. The record is from RefSeq and is a predicted model, not a curated record. NCBI's taxonomy places the organism in Eukaryota, Metazoa, Chordata, Lepidosauria, Squamata, Lacertidae.